GGAUUUCUUGACACUAGUCUUUUUGUCUUUUUUGUCUACUUUCUUUCUUUGUCUUUGUUUUGUUCUCUCUUUCUGGGAUUUUGUCUUCAUCUUUACUUUAGGCGGACCAUGUGUGAACAGAAUAAGAUGAAGAAUUUGCAGAAUUUAAGUUUAGUUAGUGAAAUUAACCUUGGAUACUAUGAAUUGACAUUGCUUAUCAGAUUGUCUCUCUUAUGUGUUACGAAUGAUUUCGCUACAUUCUUGCUUUGAGGUGUUCAGUCUUGGCACAUGUCAUUAUAUAAUAUCUUAAGGCAAAAUUCGUUUUCUACUGUCACAAUAUAUUUGCAUAACUUGGUUGUUUCGUCACUCAAUGUCUUUCAUUUUUCUUCCUUUUGUUUUCCUUUUGAAGGAAGUGAAAGCUAAUAAGGAAUGUUAAUUUGUAGUUUGAUGGGUGAGACUGUUGUUGUUCUUUAGCUGUAUUUUGAUGGGUGGCCUGAUCAAUGAGGUUUCAGAGGAGUCUUGUCGUUAUGAUGCUUUAAUUCUUUUGCUAUUGAUGCUAUCAGUUCGUAGUCGAUUUUGUGUGUUCUUGCCUUUUACUCGAGUUUCAUGGCUUGAUCUGGUGUAGCUGCUGCAGCUGUGUUUUUGAAGUUGUUCUUUUGAGCUUUGGAGGUGCUGGCAGUGUUAUCUCUGCGAAGAGGUAGCUGUUGGGAUCGAUUAUGCUGGUUAAUUCUCAAGUUCCUUGUUGUGCCUCGCAAUUUCUUUCCUUGAUGGGUGGAUCUUGUGCUGUAUUGCAAGGUGAGAUAAAUGUACCAAGCAUUCCAGCUGAGCUACAGCUACCAAAUUCAGACAACACAUUGUAGACAGUUUCUGCUUGGGAAUUAAGUUUCCUGUUGAUCACGCUAUGCUGAGUGGUUUGUGUUGUGGAAUUUCAAUAUAUUUGCUGCUGUGGUCCGUUGUCUUGUGGCGAUGAAAUUAUAUGCAUUAUUUUCGACAUGUAAAGCUCAUAUCGUGGAGAGGGAGCUAUUACAGGACAAUCCUCCGGCUGCCAACAAUAGUCCAGGUUAUUUUGUUUACUGCUGGUGAUCAAAAUUACACGGAGAUCAAUGGAUAUGAAUAAUAACACUUUGAAUGAAGGUUGAAGACUGAGGUAUUUUUUCCUUUCCUACAUGCAUGUUAGCUUCCUUGUUCAACAAUCAAUCUCAAAGGUCAUUGGUGAUUUGAAUAUUUACAUUUACUAGCCAUGAAUAACACUUGUUGAUGAUUAUUUUUGUUUCAAACCUUGCUAUAUAAAUAGUUGAACAACGAAAUAAUUAAGUUGUUAAUGUUCUAUUUUUCUCUUUCUUGUUUGUAUAGUAUUAUAUAUUAAUGUGCUAUUUUGCUAAAUUGUGCUAUGUUGAGAAAUAAAAUA
This is a long non-coding RNA of Populus trichocarpa (black cottonwood), 1387 nucleotides long. RefSeq lists it as uncharacterized. The record is from RefSeq and is a predicted model, not a curated record. The transcript is spliced from 3 exons. NCBI's taxonomy places the organism in Eukaryota, Viridiplantae, Streptophyta, Magnoliopsida, Malpighiales, Salicaceae.